Molecule: ribosomal RNA, 405 nt
Rfam family: Bacterial small subunit ribosomal RNA
UGGGGAAUAUUGGUCAAUGGGGGAAACCCUGAACCAGCAACGCCGCGUGAAGGAAGAAGGCCUUCGGGUUGUAAACUUCUUUGACAGGGGAAGAAAAAAAUGACGGUACCCUGAAAACAAGCCACGGCUAACUACGUGCCAGCAGCCGCGGUAAUACGUAGGUGGCAAGCGUUGUCCGGAUUUACUGGGUGUAAAGAGCACGUAGGCGGGACUGCAAGUCAGAUGUGAAAUUUAGAGGCUCAACCUCUAAACUGCAUUUGAAACUGUGGUUCUUGAGUGAUGGAGAGGCAGGCGGAAUUCCGAGUGUAGCGGUGAAAUGCGUAGAUAUUCGGAGGAACACCAGUGGCGAAGGCGGCCUGCUGGACAUUAACUGACGCUGAGGUGCGAAAGCGUGGGGAGCAAACA